RNAcentral lists this ribosomal RNA (509 nucleotides) under Paracoccus homiensis. Its description in RNAcentral is "bacterial SSU rRNA". It matches the Rfam family "Bacterial small subunit ribosomal RNA", at positions 1003 to 1533 of the family's 1533-position model. Lineage: Bacteria; Pseudomonadati; Pseudomonadota; Alphaproteobacteria; Rhodobacterales; Paracoccaceae. The record is from RNAcentral.
GAGAUGGAUCUUUCACUUCGGUGACCUGGAGACAGGUGCUGCAUGGCUGUCGUCAGCUCGUGUCGUGAGAUGUUCGGUUAAGUCCGGCAACGAGCGCAACCCACGUCCCUAGUUGCCAGCAUUCAGUUGGGCACUCUAUGGAAACUGCCGAUGAUAAGUCGGAGGAAGGUGUGGAUGACGUCAAGUCCUCAUGGCCCUUACGGGUUGGGCUACACACGUGCUACAAUGGUGGUGACAGUGGGUUAAUCCCCAAAAGCCAUCUCAGUUCGGAUUGUCCUCUGCAACUCGAGGGCAUGAAGUUGGAAUCGCUAGUAAUCGCGGAACAGCAUGCCGCGGUGAAUACGUUCCCGGGCCUUGUACACACCGCCCGUCACACCAUGGGAGUUGGUUCUACCCGACGGCCGUGCGCUAACCUUUUGGAGGCAGCGGACCACGGUAGGAUCAGCGACUGGGGUGAAGUCGUAACAAGGUAGCCGUAGGGGAACCUGCGGCUGGAUCACCUCCUUUCU